This 2833-nucleotide long non-coding RNA is filed under the name Capsicum annuum. Its description in RNAcentral is "long non-coding RNA (CANN_LNC017332)". Lineage: Eukaryota; Viridiplantae; Streptophyta; Magnoliopsida; Solanales; Solanaceae. The record is from RNAcentral.
GGAAUUGAAAAUUAUUUGUAGGUUACAACAUUAGGCCUUGACAAAUUGGAUAUUCACAAUAGAUCCCUAAAGGACUAAAACCUAUGUUGGCAUGCCACAUAUUUGAUCUAUUAGUGAGUCAAGUAAUGUUCCUACAAUACUCAACUCCAUAAGAGUUCAUUCGCUCACCUGAGUGGUUUGACAUAUUUGUCUUCUGCUUGUCCUCUUUGCUAUGUCACCAGGGGAGGUGAGUCGUUGAGUUUUUAUAUCCCUUACAAGAAGUUAUUUACCCUAUCAUUAUCUUGAUAGAGGCUUUUCAUGGCAUGCACACUCAUUUAUCGCAAUGAAUCCUCAAGUUGUGUCUCGUUUUUGUGUCAUAUGUCUCUAGGUAAGAUUUUACCCCAUACAGAUAGUUCCUCCACCUUUUGGGAUGAUAUGUCUAAUAGUUCUCGAGAGAUAGAAAUAGAAAUGAGUACCACUACUUAGAAUGACUUAUCUUUAUUUUUUGUCACUUUAUUCAUAAAUCGCCCUUUUGCAAUUGUUGUGUUCUUUUCGAGGCACCUAAGGAUAGAUAUCUUUUUUCGUAUGUAAAUUUUGGGAUUUCCACAAAUAUUUGUUCACCUUUUCCCUUCCUUUUGUUCUAUGAAUAAUUACUUAAAUGUUUCUUCAUCAUCCUGUGUUUCAUUUUAACAUGUCUAAUUCUUUUUUGAAACCUGUCUUUCUUUCUUUGGCCACCGGUAGCAUUAUAAAGAAGGAGAAAAGAGAAAUGACUUCUUCAAGUUGUCCAUCAAUGAAUUUAUCCCCAAUCUUUACUCUUUGAUGAAGACUUCAAAUAUUUAUCUUGUAAAGAACCAAAAAGUAAUAAGAAAUUGGUGAGUGAAUUGGGCUCCCUUGUGAAGGAGGACAACCUAGUCAUCGUUCGAAGAUAUUAUGGGUCGGUUCUUGAGAAAUUACUAGUUGAAGCCCUUCAUCGAUUUGGAAGUGUUACUUUGUAGAAGCCUGGCCUCACUUUUUUCCACGCCUACCCGUGCAUUGUGGGCCUGGGAAAUUCUAGAGACAAAGUAAUCACAUUGUUUUAUAAUAACCUUUUAUGAUGCCUCGGUCCGCAUGACCCACAAGGGUGGAGAAUUAUUGUUCGUGCACCAGCCAUUCCUAUCGGCAGGGAGUUUUACCUUAAUCAUUUACUUCUCCUCUAUUCCCCACAAUUUGCUCGAGAAUGGAUAGUACAACUAUGUGGCCGCAUAAGGAGGUUCCCCCGGGCAACUUGGAUACCUCAAAGAUCGAGGUUAGGUUGAUUAUUUUGUCAUUGUGGUCCCAAAGACCCUUACAAAGUUACCUAUCUCAUAUCUUAGAGUACUUAUCGUAAGAAACCCGAGCUGGGGCAUUUAUUUUAUACAGUAUUCUUUUUUAUUAGUUAUUGUCAAUAGAUUAUCACCAAGUAAAUUUCUGCAUCAUCUCAUUGGUUCCCUCUUAGAAGAAUCACCUAUCUCCAUUUGAUUAGAGAGUUUUGCUCAUGGAUAGAGAAGGUUUUGAACAUAUCCACAAUUGCUAGUCGAUCUUAGGUGCAUAUCCAACUAGUUCGAUUGGGAAGAAAAGAACCACUGUACUUUUAACACCUUACACUUCUUACUAUUUUCUUUAGAUUGAUUUUUUUCCUUAGAACUUCUUGCAAAACUGACAUCUAGUUCUAUGAUUAUAUCAUCCUAGAUUGUUGCUACCAAUUUAAUGAGCCAAGAUACUAAAGGUUGACUUUGUGCCUUUGAUGAUGUUACGACGGACCAUGUCCUCGAGGUUAAGCCUCAAUCUAUUAAAGGGAAGAAAAGAAAAAGGCCAGACUUGUUAGUAGAAGGGGUUUGCUUUCGGGGUUAUUUCUUAAGAUAAAGGCUCUGAGGGUCUAUGGACGCAUCACCAAUCCAGAGAAUGGGUGCUCUUAUCAUAACUUGUUUCAAAUUUAUAGGUCUAUUCAAGAAGCUAGAGAAAGUUAUAAGCCCCAGUCAGAUUGCCUAAAUAAUGAAGUAGGUGUCUCUCCAUAAUUCUCCUUGGAAGUCCCUGUCGAGCAUAGAAUUUUAAAACAUAUUAUCUUAAUGCCUUUUUUGGCAUUAUCCCACUAUGGUUUAUGUAGUCCUUCAUAUCACAUCUGACUUUUCACGCUUUCUGGAUUGGGGCCUAAUGCAAUAUCAAAUGGCAGUGCUAUAUAUUCCUAGUGAAGUCAAUUUCCUGUCAAUGCCGGUAUCAUAUCUGCCAAAAAUCACCAAAGGAUGGAUGAGGCAUCUACUGAGUGUCUUAUCAAUGAGUUCUCAUGCCGCUGCUAGGUUAGUAACUUACAUACCUCGCGUCUGUUUCUUUAGAUUCAAUUUUUCUAUUUUAAUAAGAUAUUUAUUAUUUCGCUACAGGCCAGUUAGCGGCAUAAAGCCUUUCCAGAAAGACAGAGAGCUUCUUAGAGACUUUUGGCUGUCUUGAGGUUCGUUUGUCAAGGGUUACCCAAGGAGCCUCAUUUUGCUUUCAUGCUCGCUAAAGCAUUCUUCGGGAUUGCAUCCAAUCUAUCUAGUUAUGAUUUUUUACAAUCCAUCAAUCGUGCCUCUACAUCGUGAAAUUAUGUGAAGAUGUGUUGACAGGUAUUUUCCUACUAGAGAGUUACCUUCACUAAGGUCAAGAAUUUUUGGUAGCCAAAAUAGCUUGGCCACAAUCGAGGGAUGCCUUCAAGCCAUUUUGUGAUCCCUUUUAAGCUUGUUCCUUUUGUAGCUCGUAGCUUGUAGCUUUCCUCGGCUUUAUAAUUUAUAUCCUAUUAGGUUUUGUAUCUUGUAAUUUAUAACCCUUUUGGGCUUAAUUGAGGAAGGAUUUUCCACAAUUUCAU